GCAUAGCUCAGUGGUUUAUAGAGCGUCCAACCGGCACCUGGAUGGUCAUGGGUUCGAUUCCCGUUGGGGAGCU
Molecule: transfer RNA, 73 nt
Filed under: Desmophyllum pertusum
Lineage: Eukaryota; Metazoa; Cnidaria; Anthozoa; Scleractinia; Caryophylliidae
Description: tRNA-Ala
Rfam family: tRNA (bases 2-66)
About the family: Transfer RNA (tRNA) molecules are approximately 80 nucleotides in length. Their secondary structure includes four short double-helical elements and three loops (D, anti-codon, and T loops).
Source: RNAcentral